AAGAAAAAGCUUUUAAAGGCUGUUGUCUCUAAAGUAAGGUGAGAAGAAAGAGUUUCGAUUGACUUUGGCGAAGAUUGUACAAGAAAAAGUAAUCGAAAGUGAGAUAAAAAUCCAUCGAUCCAUUCACGGGAUCACUCCCCGGUCAGUGAAAAAAUAACUGCUCUCUUUUUCUCUUUUCUUGUCACUGGAGAGGCAAGUUGCUGUGCCCAGUGGUCUUGGUGUCUGGAUUGGAGACGUCGCUGGUCGAGAUUUGGAGCUCUCCUUCAUCCUCGAUCUCGAUUCUUUCGUUCUGCAGCAAUCGAUCCAGCUAAUGAUCAAUCAAAAGAGGAGAGAAAAACCAAAAGAGUGUACCUGCGAUUCUUUGAGUGUCGAGAAUAACGUGAUCGCUGUCGCAGCUGCUAUUCCAAAGACUGGCGCGAGGGCUUUGGCCAUAUCCAUGUCUGCUUGUUUCCGUUCAAGCGGUGACCUUCCCAUCCUUGAUUUUGAGUAUCGAUAGAGAACUUAACGGGAAGAAUGCAAAGGACUCUACCUUUCUCGACUGACUGGAAAUACCCAAAACACGUGCCGAGAUUUAUGAUUCGACUCCACAAAAAUCCCCUUCUUUGCUUGCUAGGAAAGAAAAAAAAUGAAUCCCACCAGCGCGUACAAGGGAAGUGUCCUUCAGUUUAGUCGGGCUUAUAUACAAGGGCG
Molecule: long non-coding RNA, 690 nt
Filed under: Selaginella moellendorffii
Lineage: Eukaryota; Viridiplantae; Streptophyta; Lycopodiopsida; Selaginellales; Selaginellaceae
Description: long non-coding RNA (SMOE_LNC001761)
Source: RNAcentral